Medicago truncatula (barrel medic) is the source of this 727-nucleotide long non-coding RNA. RefSeq lists it as uncharacterized. The transcript has 4 exons. Lineage: Eukaryota; Viridiplantae; Streptophyta; Magnoliopsida; Fabales; Fabaceae. The record is from RefSeq and is a predicted model, not a curated record.
GUGUUAUUUUUUUAGGGAGUAUUUCCCAAUAACCGUGAUUUUUUGUGAUGGCUCAAAAAAGAAUCAUACUUAUAUUAAGGGAUAUUAAACUUUAAUCAUUUUUGACACAGAUAUCAUAGGGAGAAAGAGAAAGAGAACGGGAAAGGGGGUCUGAAGGAGGAAGGAGAGAAAACAAACAUUCACUCUAGGGAGACAAGGAAACACAAGUACUUUUGCUUUGUUUCAACUGCCUAGAUAUAGAAUUAAAUAGAGAACGAUAGAGAGAAGAGAGUGAAAAAGGAAGAACAAUUUCAAUUUGGAAGAUGGAAGAAGGGUCGAGAGAGAUUAGAGUCCACUUUAAGAAAUUCAUCAUCACCAAGUAUAGAUGUAGUGAACAAAGACCGCUGCUUGAGGAGUUUAAGGAUUGUUGUUGUAAAGAUGACCGUCAAUCCGUCUUUCCUCAUUGGCGGUGACGCCGGGGAGGCAAAGUGAUUUAGUAGAUGAAGACGCAAGUAAAACAGUGGGGCACAUUCGGAGGCUUGAUAUAUUCCGACACUGGUAUUAGCCUUGUUGAGAAAACUUUUCACAAGCAUCUAGAACUUUGACCAGCUAGGUGUAGUCUUAGAUAGAAAAAAAGAGACAAGAGCCAAGAGUCUUAGGUAGAAAUAUGGUCACACAUAUUUCACAUAUGGAUUUCUUCAUAUUCAACUCUGGUAAGCCAUGCACUAAAUCUUUAGAGUUCAAUUCA